This is a non-coding RNA of Petromyzon marinus (sea lamprey), 2769 nucleotides long. The record is from RefSeq and is a predicted model, not a curated record. NCBI's taxonomy places the organism in Eukaryota, Metazoa, Chordata, Hyperoartia, Petromyzontiformes, Petromyzontidae.
CAGUAGGGGGUACAACAGCUGGUGGUGCAUCUACCGGUGGUCAUCUCAGUCGGCCAACCCAUGGCACCUGCUGGGGUCUGUCCCAGGACUUCCUUGCCAGCAGAGAGCUCUCCCGACACUUCUCGUGGCUGCCUGCAACGUGCACCUAGCCUGGCACAGGCGCCAUCUGGUGGCGAGCGGCAUUGUGAGGCGCCUUGCGUGCUCGUCCAUUCGUGAGAACCUUCACGUUCAUGGUCACUUUCAAACUAGACGCUGUCCUUAAUAACAGUCCGGCUGCAACAGGAAACGAAACAUUUAAUAGGCGACGUUUCGGGGGCAAGGGCGUAGGGGCGACGUUUCGGGUAUACAGGCAAGGGCAUGGAGCCGGCUUCCCAUUGGCCGGAGAGCUGGUCACGUGGGUGGUAAGCAGGCGCCAGGUGUGCGUGCGGUAAUUUCUUCGGAAGAAUCGAUUGAUCGAUUCGACAUGUUCUAUAGUUUAGCUCGAUUCCAAAGGGUUUUCACAGAUCGAUUCCAAAGCGUUUUCACAGACCGAUCGAUUCUCAAAUUGUUAUCGCAGAGCGCUCGCGAUUCACGCGAAUCGAUCCACGGGAUUAUCCCCCCCCCCCCUAUCAUCCGUGUGCAAAAAAAUUGGCGCGAAAGUUGAGGGUGCGAGGGGCUCAGGAGACGGCGGGGCCGGCGGCGGCGGCGGCCUCCAUGAGACGGAGCGACUCGACGCCGCCUGGGACGGCUGCGGCGACGGCGGUGGUGGUGCUGACGACGGCGGCGGUGCUGACGACGGCAGGCGCCGCGGUAGGGGCCGAUCUCGGCGCCGCCGGCUCGGAUUUGUUUCCCCCUGGCAGCGUUGCGAGCGGCGGCGUCGGCUCGUCCGAGGGAGGUCCUUCAUCCAAGCGUGUUGGUGCCCGGAGCGCUGGUACCCAGCGGGGUAGCCGCGCCCACUUCUUGUUUUCCCGGCGAGUGAGCGGGGGACGCCGAUCGGACCCCGGGGCGGGCGAGUGAGAGGCGGGCAGCGUCGGUGUCGGCAUGAACGAGUCCUGCGUGAGGGGGGGCACCCCUGCCCGGCCCGGCACGAGCGCGCCCCCCGGGCACGUGCUCAUCAGCGAGAAGUGGAGGGGAACGCAGGUGGCACAGGCGCUAUCCGGAAAGGUGCGACUUGUGUUCGAGGAGGCGAUGGGCCUCACAGACUUCCAGCUCUCGGACCGCAUGUGCCUCCUGUUCAUCACAGAGAGCGACCAGGUCACCGGCUCGGACUACAAGCGCAGGCUCGUGCGCUUCCGAAAGAAGAGCGCCGCUAACUCCCUGGUGCUGGUGGAGCUGACGCCGCUGAGCGAGCAGUACUUUGCCGACGUGCAGGCUUUCGUGGUGCUCGACCUGGGCAUGGCCAUCGUCCCGGUGAGCGGCCAGGCCGAAGCAGCGCUCGUCAUCGCCCACCUGGUGGCCGAUGAAGGCAAGAGUCCCGGGACUAACCCCUUCUCGCCCUCGCGGGGCGCGGCGGGCUCUGGCGACGCCGCCGUUCUCGACUGCGUCACGCACAUCCCGGGCAUCGGGCGCGUGAAGGCUCUGGCCCUACUGGAGCGCUUCCCGAGCCUACACGCGCUGUCCACCGCCUCCGAUGAGCAGCUCGCCAUCGCGGUCGGCCGAGGGGCUGCUGCUAGCGUCCGGGCGUUCUUCACGCAGCGCACGGGGCCCUGAUGGCAGGGAGGGCCUCUCACGGUACUACAGUCCAGACACUGGGGGGUGAGAGGACACAAGGACAGGGGAAGAGACCCCCUCAACUCUUCACAUGUUCACCUGAAGAUUCUCAGAUGAAAAUCUUCCCCUCGUGGCAGCGCCGCUUGUGCAGCGAAGUCGUGAUGCUACUGGUCACUACAAAGGUACCCCAGCAGAAGCCACAGAAGUUGGAGAGGUCCACAGUCAAGUGGCCUCCCUCUUGGAAGCUCCCUUGGCCAUGCCGGCAGAGCAGGCCCUCUGCACCCACGUCUUCACUCCCGCAGCCUGGGCGCGCUUCGCGUGGGACGAGCCCCAAGGGGCUGCCGUGAACACCCAGCAGCUCUGGCUCUCUUCCGCGCUCGGGUCGUUGAGGCGGCUACCGGCGUCGCCGAGAGCCGCGGCCUCCCAGAAUGCGGCCGGGGCGCACCAGCGGGGAGGAGCGAGGCGGGGGCCGCCCAGGCACCGGCAGCAUCUGCUCAGAUUCAAGCAGGGGCUGCUCAGCCGUCAGGAGGAGGGCGGUGUCGUGGAGGAGGUGGUGCUUCGGGUGACGGGGACUCGGCUCCUUGAGCGCGGGGCCUUAGGCAAGCGAGACCUGGGGCACAGUGAGAGGAGGGGGUGGCAUCAGCACUGCAAGUGCCUGGGCACUUCGCUUAAUCGUCAUCCAAUGCAAGUACUCUCGUUGAGUCGCCGUAGUCGAGUUCCCACGAGCACUAUGACCGUGCAUGGAGAGAUCGCACAGAGGAGCAUGAUGGACCUGGGAGCACGGUGCUACGCAGUGACAUCGCCAUGACCUUAAGAGAAGUGGACUUGGACAGGACACAUUUCAAGACUAGCGUGUUAUCAGUUUAUCACAUCAGUAGAUCUAUGAUGUUGCGAAAAUAGGUAUUUUGGUCAUUGUCAUGAAGCUGCCUCACCACUACAAACUGUGCUCACUCAUCCCUUGAUAAUCCCCACUCACCACUGCCUCCUCUCCCCACUCACCACUACCUACUCUCACCACUACCUCCUCUCCCCACUCACCACUACCUCCUCUCCCCACUCACCACUACCUCCUCUCCCCAC